GGAGGUAUAGCUCAGUGGUAGCAUGCCUAGCAUGCACAAGGUCCUGGGUUCAAUUCCUAGUACUCCCU
Molecule: transfer RNA, 68 nt
Filed under: Camelus bactrianus (Bactrian camel)
Lineage: Eukaryota; Metazoa; Chordata; Mammalia; Artiodactyla; Camelidae
Also listed under: 2 other names
Rfam family: tRNA
About the family: Transfer RNA (tRNA) molecules are approximately 80 nucleotides in length. Their secondary structure includes four short double-helical elements and three loops (D, anti-codon, and T loops).
Source: Rfam by way of RNAcentral